This 449-nucleotide ribosomal RNA is filed under the name uncultured bacterium. RNAcentral's name for it is "partial 16S ribosomal RNA". It matches the Rfam family "Bacterial small subunit ribosomal RNA", at positions 28 to 523 of the family's 1533-position model. The record is from RNAcentral.
GACGGACGCUGGCGGCGUGCUUAACACAUGCAAGUCGAACGAGAUCUUCGGGUCUAGUGGCGCACGGGUGCGUAACGCGUGGGAAUCUGCCCUUUGGUUCGGAAUAACAGUUGGAUACGACUGCUAAUACCGGAUGAUGACGAAAGUCCAAAGAUUUAUCGCCAGAGGAUGAGCCCGCGUAGGAUUAGCUAGUUGGUGUGGUAAAGGCGCACCAAGGCGACGAUCCUUAGCUGGUCUGAGAGGAUGAUCAGCCACACUGGGACUGAGACACGGCCCAGACUCCUACGGGAGGCAGCAGUGGGGAAUAUUGGACAAUGGGCGAAAGCCUGAUCCAGCAAUGCCGCGUGAGUGAUGAAGGCCUUAGGGUUGUAAAGCUCUUUUACCCGGGAUGAUAAUGACAGUACCGGGAGAAUAAGCUCCGGCUAACUCCGUGCCAGCCGCCGCCGUAA